This 45-nucleotide non-coding RNA is filed under the name Helianthus annuus (common sunflower). Its description in RNAcentral is "Histone 3' UTR stem-loop". It matches the Rfam family "Histone 3' UTR stem-loop". From Rfam's summary of the family: The mRNAs of metazoan histone genes lack a poly-A tail. 3' end processing occurs at a site between a highly conserved stem-loop (modelled by this family) and a purine rich region around 20 nts downstream (the histone downstream element, or HDE). The record is from RNAcentral. Lineage: Eukaryota; Viridiplantae; Streptophyta; Magnoliopsida; Asterales; Asteraceae.
CAUACGGUUCUCUUCAGAACUACAAAUACUGCGAGAACCAAUCUA